AGCGAACGCUGGCGGCAGGCCUAACACAUGCAAGUCGAACGGACCUUUCGGGGUUAGUGGCGGACGGGUGAGUAACACGUGGGAACGUGCCUUUAGGUUCGGAAUAGCUCCUGGAAACGGGUGGUAAUGCCGAAUGUGCCCUUCGGGGGAAAGAUUUAUCGCCUUUAGAGCGGCCCGCGUCUGAUUAGCUAGUUGGUUGAGGUAACGGCUCACCAAGGCGACGAUCAGUAGCUGGUCUGAGAGGAUGGCCAGCCACAUUGGGACUGAGACACGGCCCAAACUCCUACGGGAAGCAGCAGUGGGGAAUCUUGCGCAAUGGGCGAAAGCCUGACGCAGCCAUGCCGCGUGAAUGAUGAAGGUCUUAGGAUUGUAAAAUUCUUUCACCGGGGACGAUAAUGACGGUACCCGGAGAAGAAGCCCCGGCUAACUUCGUG
RNAcentral lists this ribosomal RNA (434 nucleotides) under uncultured bacterium. RNAcentral describes it as "partial 16S ribosomal RNA". It matches the Rfam family "Bacterial small subunit ribosomal RNA", at positions 29 to 507 of the family's 1533-position model. The record is from RNAcentral.